GAUCAUGGCUCAGAUUGAACGCUGGCGGCAGGCUUAACACAUGCAAGUCGAGCGGGGAAAGGUAGCUUGCUACUGGACCUAGCGGCGGACGGGUGAGUAAUGCUUAGGAAUCUGCCUAUUAGUGGGGGACAACAUUCCGAAAGGAAUGCUAAUACCGCAUACGCCCUACGGGGAAAGCAGGGGAUCUUCGGACCUUGCGCUAAUAGAUGAGCCUAAGUCGGAUUAGCUAGUUGGUGGGGUAAAGG
This 245-nucleotide ribosomal RNA is filed under the name uncultured bacterium. RNAcentral's name for it is "partial 16S ribosomal RNA". It matches the Rfam family "Bacterial small subunit ribosomal RNA", at positions 15 to 263 of the family's 1533-position model. The record is from RNAcentral.